CUGCCCAGUGACCCAGUUCAACGGCCGCGGUAUCCUAACCGUGCAAAGGUAGCAUAAUCACUUGCCUAUUAAUUGUAGGCUAGAAUGAACGGAUAAACGAAAUAAAGGCUGUCUCAGCCAGCAAGCUAAAAAUUAUCAUCUAUAUGAAGAGAUAUAGAUCACAUCGAAGGACAAGAAGACCCUAUAGAGCUUUAUUUUAAAUGUGUAAAAUUCACAUAAAAAUUCGGUUGGGGCGACCAAGGGUAUUACAAAACACCCUAAAAUAAUAAGAUUAAUAAAUCUACUAAUUGACCCUUAAUAAGAUCAAAAAAUCAAGCUACCUUAGGGAUAACAGGCUAAUCCUAUUUAAGAGUUCAUAUCUACAAUAGGGUUUGGCACCUCGAUGUUGGCUUAGGGUAUCAGUAUAGCGCAAAAGUUAUAUAAAGAUGGUUUGUUCAACCAAUAAUUCCCU
This 451-nucleotide ribosomal RNA is filed under the name Parachilota sp. 508. RNAcentral describes it as "partial 16S ribosomal RNA". It matches the Rfam family "Bacterial large subunit ribosomal RNA", at positions 1859 to 2597 of the family's 2925-position model. The record is from RNAcentral. Lineage: Eukaryota; Metazoa; Annelida; Clitellata; Crassiclitellata; Acanthodrilidae.